Molecule: ribosomal RNA, 450 nt
Filed under: uncultured bacterium
Lineage: Bacteria
Description: partial 16S ribosomal RNA
Rfam family: Bacterial small subunit ribosomal RNA
Source: RNAcentral
GUGGGGAAUAUUGGACAAUGGGCGAAAGCCUGAUCCAGCCAUGCCGCGUGUGUGAAGAAGGUCUUCGGAUUGUAAAGCACUUUAAGUUGGGAGGAAGGGCAGUAAGUUAAUACCUUGCUGUUUUGACGUUACCGACAGAAUAAGCACCGGCUAACUUCGUGCCAGCAGCCGCGGUAAUACGAAGGGUGCAAGCGUUAAUCGGAAUUACUGGGCGUAAAGCGCGCGUAGGUGGUUCAGCAAGUUGGAGGUGAAAUCCCCGGGCUCAACCUGGGAACUGCCUCCAAAACUACUGGGCUAGAGUACGGUAGAGGGUAGUGGAAUUUCCUGUGUAGCGGUGAAAUGCGUAGAUAUAGGAAGGAACACCAGUGGCGAAGGCGACUACCUGGACUGAUACUGACACUGAGGUGCGAAAGCGUGGGGAGCAAACAGGAUUAGAUACCCCAGUAGUCC